This is a non-coding RNA of Halomonas sp. QHL1, 117 nucleotides long. Lineage: Bacteria; Pseudomonadati; Pseudomonadota; Gammaproteobacteria; Oceanospirillales; Halomonadaceae. The record is from Rfam.
UGCUUUUUUCGCCCAGGCGGAGCUCGACCGCAAACCCAAUUGAUGGUGUCAUUUAUCGACGAGCAUCGUGCUCAGUUUAGGGUCGAGUCGAUUUGUAGCCAGCUGCCAAUCGUCCCA